GGAUGCUAUCAUACCAGCACUAAAGCACCGGAUCCCAUCAGAACUCCGAAGUUAAGCGUGCUUGGGCGAGAGUAGUACUAGGAUGGGUGACCUCUUGGGAAGUCCUCGUGUUGCAUUCC
This 119-nucleotide ribosomal RNA is filed under the name Triticum aestivum (bread wheat). The record is from RNAcentral. Lineage: Eukaryota; Viridiplantae; Streptophyta; Magnoliopsida; Poales; Poaceae.